AACGAACGCUGGCGGCAUGCCUAACACAUGCAAGUCGAACGAGAACUUCGGGUCUAGUUGCGCACGGGGACGUACCGCGUGGGAACCUGCCCUUAGGUUCGGAAUAACUCCCCGUAGGAUGUCUUAAUACCGGAUAAUCUCAUCGGACCAAAGAUGUAUUGCCUUUGGAUGGGCGCGCGUUGGAUUCGCCAGUUGGUAGGGGACAAGCAUACCAAGGCGACGAUGCAUAGCUGGUCUGUGACGAUGAUCAGCCACAAUGGGACUGAGACACGGCCCAGAAUCGUACGGAAGGCAGCAGUAGGGAAUAUUAGAGGAUGAACGAAAGCCUGAUACAGCAGUGCCGCGGAAGUGAUGAAGGCGUUAGUGUUGUAAAGCUCUUUUACCCGAGAUGAUAAUGACAGUACUGGGAGAAGAAGCUCCGGCUAACUACGUG
Molecule: ribosomal RNA, 433 nt
Filed under: uncultured bacterium
Lineage: Bacteria
Description: partial 16S ribosomal RNA
Rfam family: Bacterial small subunit ribosomal RNA
Source: RNAcentral